This 502-nucleotide ribosomal RNA is filed under the name uncultured bacterium. RNAcentral's name for it is "partial 16S ribosomal RNA". It matches the Rfam family "Bacterial small subunit ribosomal RNA", at positions 30 to 523 of the family's 1533-position model. The record is from RNAcentral.
AUUGAACGCUGGCGGAAUGCUUUACACAUGCAAGUCGAACGGCAGCAUAGGUGCUUGCACCUGAUGGCGAGUGGCGAACGGGUGAGUAAUACAUCGGAACGUGCCCAGUCGUGGGGGAUAACGUAGCGAAAGUUACGCUAAUACCGCAUACGAUCUAAGGAUGAAAGCGGGGGACCGUAAGGCCUCGCGCGAUUGGAGCGGCCGAUGUCAGGUUAGGUAGUUGGUGAGGUAAAGGCUCACGAAGCCGACGAUCUGUAGCUGGGCUGAGAGGGGAACCAGCCACACUGGGACUGAGACACGGCCCAGACUCCUACGGGAGGCAGCAGUGGGGAAUUUUGGACAAUGGACGCAAGUCUGAUCCAGCCAUUCCGCGUGCAGGACGAAGGCCUUCGGGUUGUAAACUGCUUUUGUACGGAACGAAAAAGCUCUUACUAAUACUAGGAGUCCAUGACGGUACCGUAAGAAUAAGCACCGGCUAACUACGUGCCAGCCGCCGCAGUAA